RNAcentral lists this ribosomal RNA (525 nucleotides) under uncultured bacterium. RNAcentral's name for it is "bacterial SSU rRNA". It matches the Rfam family "Bacterial small subunit ribosomal RNA", at positions 355 to 896 of the family's 1533-position model. The record is from RNAcentral.
UGGGGAAUAUUGGACAAUGGGGGCAACCCUGAUCCAGCAAUGCCGCGUGAGUGAUGAAGGCCUUAGGGUUGUAAAGCUCUUUUACCGGGGACGAUGAUGACGGUACCCGGAGAAUAAGCCCCGGCUAACUUCGUGCCAGCAGCCGCGGUAAUACGUAGGGUGCAAGCGUUAAUCGGAAUUACUGGGCGUAAAGCGUGCGCAGGCGGUUAUGCAAGACAGAUGUGAAAUCCCCGGGCUCAACCUGGGAACUGCAUUUGUGACUGCAUGGCUAGAGUGCGGUAGAGGGGGAUGGAAUUCCGCGUGUAGCAGUGAAAUGCGUAGAUAUGCGGAGGAACACCGAUGGCGAAGGCAAUCCCCUGGACCUGUACUGACGCUCAUGCACGAAAGCGUGGGGAGCAAACAGGAUUAGAUACCCUGGUAGUCCAUGCCGUAAACGAUGAGAACUAGAUGUGUGAGGUAUUGACCCCUUACGUGUCGCAGCUAACGCAAUAAGUUCUCCGCCUGGGAAGUACGGCCGCAAGGUUA